CAGUAGGGAAUCUUCCACAAUGGACGAAAGUCUGAUGGAGCAACGCCGCGUGAGUGAAGAAGGGUUUCGGCUCCCGUAAAACUCUGUUGUUAAAGAAGAACAUAUCUGAGAGUAACUGUUCAGGUAUUGACGGUAUUUAACCAGAAAGCCACGGCUAACUACGUGCCAG
RNAcentral lists this ribosomal RNA (169 nucleotides) under uncultured bacterium. Its description in RNAcentral is "partial 16S rRNA". It matches the Rfam family "Bacterial small subunit ribosomal RNA", at positions 352 to 511 of the family's 1533-position model. The record is from RNAcentral.